UUGCAGUCAUAUCGCGUUGAAACACCUAUUCUCGUACGAUCACCAAAGUUAAGCCACGUCGAGCCUGGUCAGUAUCUAGAUGGGUGACUACUUGAGGAUACCAGG
This is a non-coding RNA of Acanthosepion pharaonis, 105 nucleotides long. Lineage: Eukaryota; Metazoa; Mollusca; Cephalopoda; Sepiida; Sepiidae. The record is from the annotation of a GenBank genome assembly.